UCUUCCACAAUGGACGCAAGUCUGAUGGAGCAACGCCGCGUGAGUGAAGCAGGGUUUCGGCUCGUAAAGCUCUGUCGUUAAAGAAGAACGUGGGUGUGAGUAACUGUUCACCCAGAGACGGUAUUUAACCAGCAAGCCACGGCUAAUUACGUGCCAGCAGCCGCGGUAAUACGUAGGUGGCAAGCGUUAUCCGGAUUUAUUGGGCGUAAAGCGAGCGCAGGCGGUCUUUUAAGUCUAAUGUGAAAGCCUUCGGCUCAACCGAAGAAGUGCAUUGGAAACUGGGAGACUUGAGUGCAGAAGAGGACAGUGGAACUCCAUGUGUAGCGGUGAAAUGCGUAGAUAUAUGGAAGAACACCAGUGGCGAAGGCGGCUGUCUGGUCUGUAGCUGACGCUGAGGCUCGAAAGCAUGGGUAGCGAACAG
RNAcentral lists this ribosomal RNA (421 nucleotides) under uncultured bacterium. RNAcentral describes it as "bacterial SSU rRNA". It matches the Rfam family "Bacterial small subunit ribosomal RNA", at positions 362 to 775 of the family's 1533-position model. The record is from RNAcentral.